GCCGAAGUAGCUCAGUGGUAGAGCAACGGUUUCGUAAACCGUCGGUCGUGGGUUCGAGUCCCACCUUCGGCUCCA
This 75-nucleotide transfer RNA is filed under the name Chloroflexota bacterium. RNAcentral describes it as "Chloroflexi bacterium (soil metagenome) tRNA-Thr". It matches the Rfam family "tRNA". From Rfam's summary of the family: Transfer RNA (tRNA) molecules are approximately 80 nucleotides in length. Their secondary structure includes four short double-helical elements and three loops (D, anti-codon, and T loops). The record is from RNAcentral. RNAcentral also lists the same sequence under 2 other names. Lineage: Bacteria; Bacillati; Chloroflexota.